RNAcentral lists this ribosomal RNA (472 nucleotides) under Chilexenus rosendinus. RNAcentral's name for it is "partial small subunit ribosomal RNA". It matches the Rfam family "Bacterial large subunit ribosomal RNA", at positions 1845 to 2600 of the family's 2925-position model. Lineage: Eukaryota; Metazoa; Arthropoda; Diplopoda; Polyxenida; Polyxenidae. The record is from RNAcentral.
AUAGAAAAUAGGGCCUGCCCACUGAAGUUUAAAGGGCUGCGGUAUUUUGACCGUACUAAGGUAGCAUAAUCAUUUGUUCUUUAAUUGGGGACUGGUAUGAAUGGUUUAACUUUAAUUUUAUUGUCUUUUUAGCAUAAGUUGAAAUUUAUUUUUAUGUGAGGAAGCGUAAAUAGGUAAAUAAGACAAGAAGACCCUAUGAAGGUUUAUAAUUUUGUAUUUUGAAAAUAGAAUUUGAAUUACAGUAUUAUUGAGCUGGGGCGGUAUAUUUUUGUAAACUGAAGUGUAAUAUUAUUUGAAUUGAAUAUAAUGAUCCAAAUGUUGAUUUAUUGAAUAAGUUACUCUAGGGAUAACAGCAUAAUUUAUUUUGAUAGUUCGUAUUGGUAAAUAAGUUUGUGACCUCGAUGUUGGAUUAGGAUUCCUUUUAUUUGUAGCAGAAUAUAAAGGUUGUCUGUUCGACAAUUAAAAUCCUACA